Molecule: ribosomal RNA, 802 nt
Filed under: uncultured Neisseriales bacterium
Lineage: Bacteria; Pseudomonadati; Pseudomonadota; Betaproteobacteria; Neisseriales
Description: SSU rRNA
Rfam family: Bacterial small subunit ribosomal RNA
Source: RNAcentral
CGGCAGCACAGAGAAGCUUGCUUCUUGGGUGGCGAGUGGCGAACGGGUGAGUAAUAUAUCGGAACGUACCGAGUAAUGGGGGAUAACUAAUCGAAAGAUUAGCUAAUACCGCAUAUUCUCUGAGGAGGAAAGCAGGGGACCUUCGGGCCUUGCGUUAUUCGAGCGGCCGAUAUCUGAUUAGCUAGUUGGUGGGGUAAAGGCCUACCAAGGCGACGAUCAGUAGCGGGUCUGAGAGGAUGAUCCGCCACACUGGGACUGAGACACGGCCCAGACUCCUACGGGAGGCAGCAGUGGGGAAUUUUGGACAAUGGGCGCAAGCCUGAUCCAGCCAUGCCGCGUGUCUGAAGAAGGCCUUCGGGUUGUAAAGGACUUUUGUCAGGGAAGAAAGGGCUGUUGCUAAUAUCGACAGCUGAUGACGGUACCUGAAGAAUAAGCACCGGCUAACUACGUGCCAGCAGCCGCGGUAAUACGUAGGGUGCGGGCGUUAAUCGGAAUUACUGGGCGUAAAGCGAGCGCAGACGGUUACUUAAGCAGGAUGUGAAAUCCUCGGGCUCAACCUGGGAACUGCGUUCUGAACUGGGUGACUAGAGUGUGUCAGAGGGAGGUAGAAUUCCACGUGUAGCAGUGAAAUGCGUAGAGAUGUGGAGGAAUACCGAUGGCGAAGGCAGCCUCCUGGGAUAACACUGACGUUCAUGCUCGAAAGCGUGGGUAGCAAACAGGAUUAGAUACCUUGGUAGUCCACGCCCUAAACGAUGUCAAUUAGCUGUUGGGCAACUUGAUUGCUUAGUAGCGUAGCUAACGC